This is a non-coding RNA of Biomphalaria pfeifferi, 1229 nucleotides long. The record is from the annotation of a GenBank genome assembly. Lineage: Eukaryota; Metazoa; Mollusca; Gastropoda; Planorbidae.
UUGUAACUUUGAUCUAAUUUUACUACUUUAAAAAAAAAAAGUUAUAAUUAUUUAAUAUGCAAUUUUUGUGAAUUUUGAAAAAAAUUUUUGUAAGUUUUGGAGUUUGUGCAGAGUAAGACCAUAUGUGAAUUUUUAAGUCUCUUGUGGAAGCCCUUAAAUAUGGCUCUGCAUCUCUAUCACUUGAUGUCAUUGAGAUCCUUAUGAUUUGUAUAAAGUUUGUGUUUUCUCUGUAGCAAUGCACUGAAUGUCAAGGAUGCUAAAUUGAUUUUCAAUCUUGCCAACUAAAAAAUAUCUACAAUCAGAAGAGCUUAGACAAUUUGAACCGGCAGUGCUGAAUAGUGCACAUACAUUUUUAUAUGCCUUUAAAAACCACAUAGAUUGUCUUCAUUUUCUUUAUUCUGUACAUUGGAUACACAUACAAAAAAAAGAGCUAACAUCUCUAAUAACAGGAGAAUGCAUGCUUUUGAAUAAUUAUUUUGAACUGCUUUUAUUUUUAUCGUAUUUUUUUUUUUAUUAUGCUUUCAUUGUGAGGCUUCUCAUUCUUUGAGUCGCAUGAUGCUGAUUACAUGGUGUCUGAGGUCAUAUGACUUGUUGAUCACACGAUGUCUAGACUCUGUGGCUUGCUGAUCACUUGGUGCUGUCAAGGUCACUGAAUUCUUGGUCAUACUUUGCCAUCUGAAGUUGUAUGUACAACCAAUUAAAACCACAAUUUGACUCAUGUUAUUGUCAACUAUUAAUGCUGUAGUUUUUGUUUUUUUUUUGGUCAGCAUCUAUUUUUGUAAUACCUAGGUGUACAGCACUAUAUAUAUACAUUCAUAAUUGUUGUAUAGGUCAGUGUGGUUUAGCAUCUGUAGACACCACAAAGUGGGACAAAAUUAAAACCCAAGUUCUACCCAACAGCUCAUGAACUAUUAGUACGACUGAACUGAACCCCCAUACUGGGGUCAUUUAGUUGUCUGCUCACUACGUCUGAAUGUUUUCAUUGACUCAUCUAUGUCACGUGACCAUUGGUUCAUUAAACUUUGUGAAUAUUGUCACUCACUGUGUUUGUUGUUUGUAUGUCAGAAAAUUUCUUUGCUUGUUUUUUUUUUUUUUUUUUAAACAGGUUUUGUAUAAACUUUUGGAAUCGAUUUUUCGACCUCUUCUGCUCAUUUAAUUUUCAUCAAAUUUUUACUGACACGCUCAUAAUUGAUGACAACACAUGCAUCAAUAAAAAAAUUCAAUAAACU